GGGCGGCAAGGUAGCAAAGGCAGACAGGAUCAAGCGCCUAGUGCCGAUUUUCGAGCAGAAGCGUCUUUGGUUGCCGGAGACGUUGCAUGUGACGAACUACGAGGGCGAGGUCAGGGAUUUGGUCAAGGACUU
RNAcentral lists this unclassified non-coding RNA (132 nucleotides) under fungal sp. RNAcentral's name for it is "partial internal transcribed spacer region". Lineage: Eukaryota; Fungi. The record is from RNAcentral.